UNUUACCAGAAAGGGACGGCUAANUACGUGCCAGCAGCCGCGGUAAUACGUAGGUCCCGAGCGUUGUCCGGAUUUAUUGGGCGUAAAGCGAGCGCAGGCGGUUAGAUAAGUCUGAAGUUAAAGGCUGUGGCUUAACCAUAGUACGCUUUGGAAACUGUUUAACUUGAGUGCAGAAGGGGAGAGUGGAAUUCCAUGUGUAGCGGUGAAAUGCGUAGAUAUAUGGAGGAACACCGGUGGCGAAAGCGGCUCUCUGGUCUGUAACUGACGCUGAGGCUCGGAAGCGUGGGGAGCGAACAGGAUUAGAUACCCUGGUAGUCCACGCCGUAAACGAUGAGUGCUAGGUGUUAGGCCCUUUCCGGGGCUUAGUGCCGCAGCUAACGCAUUAAGCACUCCGCCUGGGGAGUACGACCGCAAGGUUGAAACUCAAAGGAAUUGACGGGGGCCCGCACAAGCGGUGGAGCAUGUGGUUUAAUUCGAAGCAACGCGAAGAACCUUACCAGGUCUUGACAUCCCGAUGCCCGCUCUAGAGAUAGAGUUUUACUUCGGUACAUCGGUGACAGGUGGUGCAUGGUUGUCGUCAGCUCGUGUCGUGAGAUGUUGGGUUAAGUCCCGCAACGAGCGCAACCCUUAUUGUUAGUUGCCAUCAUUCAGUUGGGCACUCUAGCGAGACUGCCGGUAAUAAACCGGAGGAAGGUGGGGAUGACGUCAAAUCAUCAUGCCCCUUAUGACCUGGGCUACACACGUGCUACAAUGGCUGGUACAACGAGUCGCAAGUCGGUGACGGCAAGCUAAUCUCUUAAAGCCAGUCUCAGUUCGGAUUGUAGGCUGCAACUCGCCUACAUGAAGUCGGAAUCGCUAGUAAUCGCGGAUCAGCACGCCGCGGUGAAUACGUUCCCGGGCCUUGUACACACCGCCCGUCACACCACGAGAGUUUGUAACACCCGAA
RNAcentral lists this ribosomal RNA (946 nucleotides) under uncultured bacterium. RNAcentral's name for it is "bacterial SSU rRNA". It matches the Rfam family "Bacterial small subunit ribosomal RNA", at positions 478 to 1425 of the family's 1533-position model. The record is from RNAcentral.